Juglans microcarpa x Juglans regia is the source of this 2484-nucleotide RNA transcript. It is a transcript of the gene named transcription initiation factor TFIID subunit 12b-like, with no coding region annotated. The transcript is spliced from 9 exons. NCBI's taxonomy places the organism in Eukaryota, Viridiplantae, Streptophyta, Magnoliopsida, Fagales, Juglandaceae. The record is from RefSeq and is a predicted model, not a curated record.
UUCUCCUGCCCCUCCCGGCCUUCUAGGCCUUUUUCUUCCCCUUCAUUGUUCAAUCCCUCCCCCCUCUCUCUCUCAUUUACGGAACCCGAAUUGGGAUAUGAACUAGGCCGAGGACAAUCGCGUAGUUCCAUUCACCAAAUUUCUCAGAAGGAAAUGGCAGAAAGUGCAGCAUCGUCUCCAAAACCCCUCCAAACUUCAAACCCCAUCGACCCAACAUCAGCGACACAACCAACAACAAUAGCAGCACAAACGCCAACACCCACACCCUCAAUUCCUCAAAACCUGUCGAACCCACAGCCCAUCCCUUCCCCUUCCCCUCUCUCCCACUCCCACUCCCACUCCCCUUCUCUUGAUCAUAUCUCCUCUCCUCCCCAAAUCCCUCUUCCCCAAUUGCAACCACAGCCACAACAACACCACCACCAACAGCAGCAGCAGCUCACUCCAUCCGUUGGAUUAGAUUUCCAACAACAAAAGCAACUGCAACAAUCCCAACAGCAGCAAUCUCAGCAACAACAGAGUUUGACCCAGAAUGUCACUGCCAUGUCGAGUUAUCAAAUCCAGCAAAGCAUGCAACGCUCCUCGUCCAUGUCGCGGUUGAACCAAAUUCAGCAACAACAGUUUGGGGCUAUGAGGCAGCAGCAGCUUCAACAGCAGGGGCUUUAUGGGAAUGUGAAUUUUGGUGGGUCUGGUGGCAUUCAGCAGCAGACCCAGCAGCAACAGCAGCAAAAUCAGCAGCAGUUGGGUACUAGCGGGAACUUAUCCCGGUCAGCGCUGAUCGGGCAGAGCGGCCAUCUGCCCAUGUUGUCGGGCGCAGCUUCAGCGCAGUUCAAUCUGCAGUCCCAGUUGUUAGCUUCGCCGAGGCAGAAAUCUGGAUUGGUCCAAGGCUCUCAAUUCCAUUCAGGUAACUCGGGUCAAGCUUUGCAAGGAAUGCAAGCAAUGGGGAUGAUGGGGACACUCAAUUUGAGCUCGCAACUAAGAGCGAACGGCCCCCUCAGUUAUACCCAGCAAAUUAACCUGGGGCAGAUGAGGCAGCAAUUGCAACAACAAAGUUCUCUCAACUCUCCGCAGGUUCAAAGCUUACCCAGGAAAUCAUCACUGGCAUUUUUGAACCCUAAGUUAUCUGGAAUGACUCAGAAUGGGCAGCCAGCUAUGAUGCAGAAUGCUUUAUCACAGCAACAGUGGUUGAAGCAAAUUCCACAAAUCUCUGGUGCUGGUUCAGCUUCAUUCCGUAAUCAACAACAUCAGAGGCAGCAGCAAGUACUCAUGCAGCAGCAGUUGCACCAGAACUCCGUGGCCCUAAACCAACAGCAAUUAUCCCAACUGGUACAGCAGCAGCAACCAAUGGGGCAUCCUUCGCCACAGCAGCAACAACAGCAACUACAACAACCUGCACAACCACAAUUGCAACAACUGUCCUUGCAUCAGCAGCCGCAGCAGCAGUAUUCUCCAAGGGUGCCUGGACCCACAGGGCAGAAAUCCCUAAGUUUGACUGGAUCACAACCGGAUGCUACUGCAUCUGGUACAACGACACCAGGGGGGAGUUCCAGCCAUGGAACAGAAGCAACCAAUCAACUUCUUGGGAAAAGAAAAUUACAGGAUUUGGUCUCACAGGUGGAUUCACAGGGAAAGCUGGAUCCUGAAGUUCAAGAUCUUCUUUUAGAGAUUGCUGAUGACUUCAUUGAUUCUGUGACAACAUUCGCAUGCAGUUUGGCAAAACAUCGGAAAUCUUCAACUUUAGAGUCCAAGGAUUUAUUGCUACACCUAGAGAAAAAUUGGCAAUUGAACAUUCCGGGAUAUUCAAGUGAAGAGCGGAAGUACCAAAGCAAACCUUUAACAAGUGAUCUCCACAAGAAGCGUCUUGAUGUGAUACGCACAUUAAUGGAAACCCCACACUCCGAAACAAAUACAAGUAAUCCUAAAGAGAUGAUAAAGCAGGGACUUGGUAACCCAGCUGGUGCCAAUUACCUGGUACGACCCUUCUCUUAGUUCAAACAGCUAGUUUCCCAUUCUACUGGUCCCCAGAUGCUACAGAAGAUGACGCGAAUUUAGUAGAAAUGCACCCCGAAUUCUUAUUUUAUCUUAUGCUGCUUGGGUAUGACUUCAUGAACACCAUCGGUUGGAAGAAUGAAUAUAGAUUGCCAAUAGCAAAUAGCUGUAAUUACUUAGCAACUACAUGAACUAUAGGAGGGGGAGAUCGCAGCAGUCGACCAUCUUUUAUAAUGUUUCCUCAAUAGAUUUAUUAUCAUUUUGUUGGGGUGAGAAAUCAUAUGACAGAUAGAGCUCGUGCCUGCCCUCCAUUUAGCAGUCAAACGAUCGGGGUUGGGUGGGCUUUGCCUUUGUAUUCUACUCGAUUACUAGAGACAGGAUUUUCUUAUGUUUUGGACUGGGAUCCAUUUUUUAUCUGAAUUUGAAACAGAUUCAUGGUCAGGUGGGCUUUUAUUGUAAUAUAUUAUUGAUAAAUGCCUGCAUUUUGUUCUUUGAAAA